GAAUCAACCUGUCAGGGGAGAUACCAUGAUCACGAAGGUGGUUUUCCCAGGGCAAGGCUUAUCCAUUGCACUCCGGAUGUGCUGACCCCUGUGAUUUCCCCAAAUGUGGGAAAUCCACUGCAUAAUUUGUGGUAGUGAGGGACUAUGUUCGCGCUCUCCCCUG
Molecule: small nuclear RNA, 163 nt
Filed under: Dasypus novemcinctus (nine-banded armadillo)
Lineage: Eukaryota; Metazoa; Chordata; Mammalia; Cingulata; Dasypodidae
Description: U1 spliceosomal RNA (ENSDNOG00000027170.1)
Rfam family: U1 spliceosomal RNA
About the family: U1 is a small nuclear RNA (snRNA) component of the spliceosome (involved in pre-mRNA splicing).
Source: RNAcentral